Molecule: transfer RNA, 73 nt
Filed under: Ornithorhynchus anatinus (platypus)
Lineage: Eukaryota; Metazoa; Chordata; Mammalia; Monotremata; Ornithorhynchidae
Rfam family: tRNA
About the family: Transfer RNA (tRNA) molecules are approximately 80 nucleotides in length. Their secondary structure includes four short double-helical elements and three loops (D, anti-codon, and T loops).
Source: Rfam by way of RNAcentral
AGCAGCGUGGCUUAGUGGAAAGAGCAUGGGGCUUGGGAGUCAGAGGCCAUGGGUUCUAAUCCCACCUCUGCCA